UGCAAGGUUGCCUCAACAUACACGUC
This 26-nucleotide non-coding RNA is filed under the name Homo sapiens (human). Lineage: Eukaryota; Metazoa; Chordata; Mammalia; Primates; Hominidae. The record is from RNAcentral.